This 253-nucleotide ribosomal RNA is filed under the name uncultured bacterium. RNAcentral's name for it is "partial 16S ribosomal RNA". It matches the Rfam family "Bacterial small subunit ribosomal RNA", at positions 524 to 776 of the family's 1533-position model. The record is from RNAcentral.
UACGGGGGGGGCAAGCGUUGUUCGGAAUUACUGGGCGUAAAGGGCUCGUAGGCGGCCAACUAAGUCAGACGUGAAAUCCCUCGGCUUAACCGGGGAACUGCAUCUGAUACUGGAUGGCUUGAGUUCGGGAGAGGGAUGCGGAAUUCCAGGUGUAGCGGUGAAAUUCGUAGAUAUUAGGAAGAACACCAGUGGCGAAGGCGGCUCACUGGCCCGGUACUGACGCUCAUGUGCGAAAGCGUGGGGAGCAAACAGG